Molecule: long non-coding RNA, 1003 nt
Organism: Xenia sp. Carnegie-2017
Lineage: Eukaryota; Metazoa; Cnidaria; Anthozoa; Malacalcyonacea; Xeniidae
Exons: 9
Source: RefSeq, a predicted model, not a curated record
GCAAAAUUUGAGAAUUUUAGCGAGCAAUGUUUUUGAAAUAUUUGUUACUGCACUUCAAAUUUUGAAUAUCGGAGCAAAAUUUUCUGCCUAUGUUAAAGAUAUACAGAUAUAUAGAGUUGUAGUGAAGGUGAAUGGCACCGAAAAGAAAGCGAGAAGUCCCAAAGAAGGUUGGCAGGCAGAGUCAAAUGAAUUAAACUGCACAUUUUGCCCUAUUACGGUAUUAAAUACAUCCAUGUCGAUUGAUGAGCAAGAAAAUAAAUUGAACGAUUAUAUAGAAGAUUUUCUACUCAAAGUAAAGAACAGGAGUGAAAGAAUAUUAAAAUGCAUUCAAAAAGCCAAAGCACAGACUGCAAAUGCUUAUAAGAGUCCAAGCAUUGAAGUUGUUAAGAAUGUACGCCAAAUGAAAUUUAAAGAAUUUCUAAACAACGCAGGAAAUGUUAAUUGAGCCCUUACUACGCAGGUGCAUACGUAGGUGACAGCGUACAUAACAGAGCUUCAAGCAUCAGGAUCAGUGACUGACAACAUGUCUGUUAAGUCAAGUUUAGGAUGAACUGUUAUAAUUUGUGUUUGUCAACAACCAUAUGUGAUGUUUUGUCUUCAAGAGUGGCGGACGCUGAAGGAGGGAGAAAGUCACUAUCUUACAUGCCAUUGCCAAAUCUCUCUUGUAAAAUCAAUAGCUCAGAUUUUGAAAUAUGGCCAACAAAACUUCUACUACAAUCUGUGUCGUUAUUUCGCUAUGAAACUUUACAAAAACUUCGCUCGUGAAUUGUUCGUGUUAAAAGUAUGAGAGCUCCAAAACCUGGGGAGAGAGUGAUACCCAUGAUUGGAUCACCGCUGACCAUUGAUGUUGCGCCCUCGGAUAACAAUGCUCUGAAGGGCAUCAUACUAUUAACAGGUGGUAAGAUACGAUGAUCAUGCUUAUAUAACACAAGGAAACAUGUUUCAAGACACAAGGAAAACAUAUUAAACAAAGAUUGUUGCAUCCAAUUUUGCAAAUUAAAAG